Bos taurus (domestic cattle) is the source of this 827-nucleotide long non-coding RNA. The record is from Ensembl. Lineage: Eukaryota; Metazoa; Chordata; Mammalia; Artiodactyla; Bovidae.
CCUGAGGUGGUGGUACCUGGGGUUCACCUAAUGUUUCUCCUCAAAGUGAAACCAGUGCGGGCGGUAGUCUCCGCGCGUGCGUUCGCUGCGGCCCGCGGGUCGCGUGGUCAGCUCGGAACCUGAGGGUGUGGGGGAAGGUCGGGGCGUCUGGGGAAGGGUCCUGACAGGCAGGGUGGAGGAGGAUCGCGGGGCGGGUCCGGGGGAGGGUCGCCAAGCGUUCCCGCAGGACUCGAGCCCGUGGCCAUGACCGCGCUCCGGGUUCCGCGGCGGCUGUGCUGGUUGGUGCUGGAUGAGAGGAGCUGCACGCGGCUGGGCGCGCGGGCUGCGCGGGGUCUGCCGGAGAUACCCUCCUGCACACUUUACGCGCCACAGCCGCUGGGACAUCUUGGCCUAUCUGGGACCUGGACAUCGAAGCCGUCCACCAGGACUACAAGCGGGCUCUCUCUGCACGAGGCUGCCUCCAUGGGACACCCGGACUGCGUGCGGUACCUGCUGGCCCGGGGGGCCGCCGUCGACUGCUUGGAAGGCCGACUGGAAACAACCUGACCAAGCCCGCCUGUCAAUGACUGCAGGAAGGGAAUUAACACAUUCCCUUCAGAGGCUGAUGGGAACCAGGAAAGAGGCCUUGCUUCCGGCUCUUCAAACCCCAGUUCCUGGUGUGAACCAGCUUGGCCGAUGCUCUUGCUUGGGCUGGGGGUGCCGUGUGCGGAGACGCUGCACCCACCUUAAUGUAAGGUGGCAAUGAGCCUUGUGAGCCCCACUACCGGGAGCAGCUGUGCCUAUCUCUGCUCCCCAGAACCCCGCCAACUCCACCCACUCCCCCGCUG